This 254-nucleotide ribosomal RNA is filed under the name uncultured bacterium. Its description in RNAcentral is "partial 16S ribosomal RNA". It matches the Rfam family "Bacterial small subunit ribosomal RNA", at positions 524 to 776 of the family's 1533-position model. The record is from RNAcentral.
UACGUAGGUGGCAAGCGUUGUCCGGAUUUACUGGGCGUAAAGAGCGCGCAGGCGGUCGUACAAGUCGCGUGUGAAAGCCCCCGGCUCAACUGGGGAGGGUCACGCGAUACUGUUCGACUCGAAGGCAGGAGAGGGAAGUGGAAUUCCCGGUGUAGUGGUGAAAUGCGUAGAUAUCGGGAGGAACACCAGUGGCGAAGGCGACUACCUGGCCUGUUUCUUGACGCUGAGGCGCGAAAGCUAGGGGAGCAAACGGG